Molecule: long non-coding RNA, 223 nt
Filed under: Gossypium raimondii (Peruvian cotton)
Lineage: Eukaryota; Viridiplantae; Streptophyta; Magnoliopsida; Malvales; Malvaceae
Description: long non-coding RNA (GRAI_LNC005226)
Source: RNAcentral
CCAAACAUUUUAAUUGAAAAAGACGAACACAGAAAGACAUUUUUGAAAAUUUGGAUCCCUCAUACAGUUCUUCGUUCAUGUCAUUAAGUAGCGCAUAGAACUUCGCCGCUUCUUCAUUCGGCUCUUCAUGAGGUACACUACUUCCCGGUUCGGUAAAAGCAUUUCUCCCAAUAUUACAAUCAUCAGAAGCCACAAAGUCCGCUGGGAACGACUGAACGCCAUG